GGAUGGGUGGCCGAGUGGUCUAUGGCAGCGGUCUUGAAAACCGCCAGCCCGCAAGGGCUCGUGGGUUCGAAUCCCACCCCAUCCGCCA
This 88-nucleotide transfer RNA is filed under the name Belnapia mucosa. RNAcentral describes it as "tRNA-Ser". It matches the Rfam family "tRNA". Rfam says of the family: Transfer RNA (tRNA) molecules are approximately 80 nucleotides in length. Their secondary structure includes four short double-helical elements and three loops (D, anti-codon, and T loops). The record is from RNAcentral. Lineage: Bacteria; Pseudomonadati; Pseudomonadota; Alphaproteobacteria; Acetobacterales; Roseomonadaceae.